RNAcentral lists this long non-coding RNA (1056 nucleotides) under Hordeum vulgare. RNAcentral describes it as "long non-coding RNA (HVUL_LNC020755)". Lineage: Eukaryota; Viridiplantae; Streptophyta; Magnoliopsida; Poales; Poaceae. The record is from RNAcentral.
CCCCUGAUUCUUCUGAACCAUCACCUUCACCAUCCACUGCUCUCCCAGUUCCUAUUCCUCAAAAUGAGCAUCACAUGUGCACUUGUGCCAAGGCUGGUCUUGGUAUUCCUAAACCUGUCUUUGAUCUUCAUGCCACUUCCAUUUCGCCUCUUCCCACAUCUGGCUACAGUGUGUUCCUCGUGAAGUUUCCUGAUCAUCCAAGCAAUAGCUUACUGUUUCUCGUUCAUCGGCCGAGGCUGAGUAUCACUCAGUGUCUCAUGCUGUAGCUGUGACAACUCCUUUACGAGCUACAACAAUCAAUUCAGCAGGUUGCCAUUGGAUUCCGUAAUGACAUAUCAGCUGGGUAUUUGUCAUCAAAUCCUGUACAACAUAGGAAAACUAAGCAUAUUUGAGAUAGAUAUACACUUUUUUAGGGAAAAGGUGGUAUUAGGCCAAGUCAGAGUGCUCCGCUUACCUACCACAGCAGGGGGUGUUAUAAAAGGUCUGCUCAUAGCUAUCUUCGGUGACAUCAGGUCCAGUCUCAAGGGUCACAACGCCUGACACUGAAACAUCAAGGGGUGUUAGACAGUAUCCCACAUGAGAUUUGAAGCUUUGAAAUGAUAUUUAAACUACUAGCAUAAAGCAAACAAGAGAUGCAGCCCAGUAGCCCACCACAGCUGAUUGCAUAAGCUCAUCCUUACCCUUGCAUUCAUUUCAAGCAGCUGUCUCAAGAACUCAAGUCUCUGAAACAACAAGGCAGGUGCAUGUAUAAAUUAGGUUCUAACAUAAAACGAUCCUACUAGAGAACAACAAAUGUCAUCCUACUCGGGUCACAUCUUACUGUCUUCCUUGCUCCUCGACAUAACAUCGAGCACCAAAAGCGCAACCUCACUAGUUCCAAUUUCAGUCAUACACACAAGACACGUCAUAUUCACCCAGGACCCUAUGCAAAAUGGCCACUCCCUCGAAUUUCCUCGUGAUUCAAAAAAUUCUCAAACAUUGACAUGCUCACUACCUUUAUAUAAACCUGACCACACAAGUGUUGCUCGAACCCCACAUGUAUUGCUUGACAAUUAC